Molecule: ribosomal RNA, 367 nt
Filed under: uncultured organism
Description: bacterial SSU rRNA
Rfam family: Bacterial small subunit ribosomal RNA
Source: RNAcentral
CGGAGGGUGCAAGCGUUAUCCGGAUUUAUUGGGUUUAAAGGGUCCGCAGGCGGACUUGUAAGUCAGAGGUGAAAGCCGGCAGCUCAACUGUCGAACUGCCUUUGAUACUGCAAGUCUUGAGUGAGGUUGAAGUAGCUAGAAUGAGUAGUGUAGCGGUGAAAUGCAUAGAUAUUACUCAGAAUACCAAUUGCGAAGGCAGGUUACUAAGUCUUAACUGACGCUGAGGGACGAAAGCGUGGGGAGCGAACAGGAUUAGAUACCCUGGUAGUCCACGCCGUAAACGAUGGAUACUGUCUGUUGGGGAGCAAUUCUCAGUGGAUAAGCGAAAGUGAUAAGUAUCCCACCUGGGGAUACGUUCGCAAGAAUG